GACAGAGGGUGCAAACGUUGUUCGGAAUUACUGGGCGUAAAGCGCGUGUAGGCGGCUUCGCAAGUCGGAUGUGAAAUCCCACGGCUCAACCGUGGAAGUGCAUUCGAAACUGCAAGGCUAGAGUCCUGGAGAGGAAGGUGGAAUGCUUGGUGUAGAGGUGAAAUUCGUAGAUAUCAAGCGGAACACCGGUGGCGAAGGCGGCCUUCUGGACAGUGACUGACGCUGAGACGCGAAGGCGUGGGGAGCAAACAGG
Molecule: ribosomal RNA, 253 nt
Filed under: uncultured bacterium
Lineage: Bacteria
Description: partial 16S ribosomal RNA
Rfam family: Bacterial small subunit ribosomal RNA
Source: RNAcentral